Molecule: transfer RNA, 58 nt
Filed under: Lernaea cyprinacea
Lineage: Eukaryota; Metazoa; Arthropoda; Copepoda; Cyclopoida; Lernaeidae
Description: tRNA-Glu
Source: RNAcentral
GAUUUAUAGUAUAAAUAAAUACAUUGUUUUUUCAAGACAAAAAUGCCUGCCUAAAUCU